This 797-nucleotide ribosomal RNA is filed under the name uncultured bacterium. Its description in RNAcentral is "bacterial SSU rRNA". It matches the Rfam family "Bacterial small subunit ribosomal RNA", at positions 8 to 833 of the family's 1533-position model. The record is from RNAcentral.
AGAGUUUGAUCCUGGCUCAGGAUGAACACUGGCGGCGUGUCUAAGGCAUGCAAGUCAAUCCCGCUUCGGCGGGAGGCAGACGGGUGAGUAACACAUUGGUAACCUGCCCCAAUCUCGGGUAUAAUCCAGCGAAAGUUGGAAUAAUCCCCGAUAGUCUCCGACUUUAUGUCGGAGUAAAGGUUUAGAGCAAUCUAUUCCGGAUUGGGAGGGGCCUAUGGCUGAUUAGUUUGCUGGUAAGGUAAUGGCUUACCAAGGCGAUGAUCAGUAGCGGGCGUGAGAGCGCGACCCGCCUCAUAGGGACUGAGACACUGCCCUGACUCCUACGGGAGGCUGUAGUCAAGAAUCUUCCACAAUGCCCGCAAGGGUGAUGGAGCGACGCCGCGUGAUUGAAGAAGCCCUUCGGGGUGUAAAGAUCUUUUCUGAAGGACGAACGUUGACGGUACUUCAGGAAUAAGGGGUGGCUAAAUUCGUGCCAGAAGCCUCGGUAAUACGAAUGCCCCUAGCGUUAUCCGGAUUUAUUGGGCGUAAAGCGUCCGCAGGUGGUUUGAAAAGUCUCGCUUCAAAUCUUAGUGCUCAACAUUAAGACCGGGCGAGAAACUUUUAAACUAGAGGUUGGGAGAGGCGAGUGGAAUGGCUGGUGUAGGGGUUAAAUCCGUUAGUAUCAGCUAGAACACCAAAAGCGAAGGCAGCUCGCUGGAACACACCUGACACUCAUGGACGAAAGCGUGGGUAGCGAACGGGAUUAGAUACCCCGGUAGUCCACGCCGUAACGAUGGACACUAGGCAUUGGCAGUAUC